CACUUCAGACAAAUGCCACCAAGGAGAAGAGUUUCCAAAGCUGACUUCUCACUUUCGCAGGGAUGUCAGAUACCAUUCCAUCCCCUGCUGACUGCAGAAGUCUGGCAGACCCUGAGCGCAGCAACAGUCCUGCACCCUGCAGUCUAAAAACAGUGGCCUCCCAGGCUGCCUGCGGCAUUUGGGAUCCCAGAAAUGUAAAGACAUGCUGGCUGGCAAUGGGCUGCCUCCUUAAUUACAGGAUAGAGAGUUGAGGAUAAAGACAUCCUGAGUGGGCUAUGUGGCUCUCAUAUAUCUUUGGCAGAGAGAACCUUUCCUCAAUUUCUUCACUCCCUCAUGGACCACCUACGGACAUAAGCUCCCACCAGAGACGCCCAGAUAUAAACACAGGUGUUCAGCACAUCUGCACUAUUGUACUGGAUGGCAGUAAU
Molecule: long non-coding RNA, 428 nt
Organism: Mus caroli (Ryukyu mouse)
Lineage: Eukaryota; Metazoa; Chordata; Mammalia; Rodentia; Muridae
Source: RefSeq, a predicted model, not a curated record